UACGAAGGGGGCUAGCGUUGUUCGGAAUUACUGGGCGUAAAGGGCGCGUAGGCGGUACUUCAAGUCAGGCGUGAAAUCCCCGGGCUCAACCUGGGAAUUGCGGUUGGAACUGGCAAGCUAGAGUAGGGUAGAGGGGUGUGGAAUUCCAGGUGUAGCGGUGAAAUGCGUAGAUAUCUGGAGGAACACCGGUGGCGAAGGCGGCAUCCUGGACCAAUAUUGACGCUGAGGAGCGAAAGCCAGGGGAGCAAACGGG
RNAcentral lists this ribosomal RNA (253 nucleotides) under uncultured bacterium. RNAcentral describes it as "partial 16S ribosomal RNA". It matches the Rfam family "Bacterial small subunit ribosomal RNA", at positions 524 to 776 of the family's 1533-position model. The record is from RNAcentral.